AGUUAUUAUGGGCUGAAUUGUGUCCUCCCAAAAUUCAUGUUGAAUUGAAUGUGGUUAGAGUUGAAGCCCUAACCCCCAGCACCUCAGAAAGUGACUGUAUUUAGAGACAGGCACUUUAAAGAGGCGAUUAAGAUAAAAUGAGGUCAUUGGGGUGGGCCCUAAUCCUACAUAACUGGUGUCCCAAUAAGAAGAGGAGAUUAGGACGCAGACACACAGAGGGAGGACCAUGUGAGGACACAGGGAGAAGAUGGUCGUUUACAAGCCAAGGAGAGAGGCCUGAGAAGAAACCAAACUUGCUGACACCUUGAUCUUGGACUUCUAGCUUGCAGAACUAUGAGAAAAUAAAUUUCUGUUGUUUGAGUCACUUAGUCUUUUGUUCUGGCAGCCUGAACAAACUGACACAGCAGUGUUCUGGGCACUGGGGUUUCAGCAUUGAGCAAGACAGGUAAGUCCCUGCUCUUAUGGAUUACAGCAGGAUGAAAUAAAUAAGACAUAUAUAUAGAUUUAUUUUAUAAUAUAUCUUACAAUGUUUAUGUCUUAUUAUAAUGCUUUAUUUAUAAUAAAAAAUAAGAUAAUAAUAGCAGUAAUGGUAAUUGCUAUAAAGAAAGUAAAUAGGGGAUCUAACAGAGAGAUGAGGCCCACUAGGAGAGCAGGGCGGUUGGAGCGGGUCUCCCUGAGGAGGUGAGACCUGAAGACAGGAAAAGCUGGCCAUGUGAAGUUUGGAGACUGAUGGAAAGUAGGAUGGUGGUUGUCUGGGGCUGGGGGAGGGGGAACAGGGAGUUACUGUUUAAUGGGGACAGAGUUUCAGUUUGGGAAGAUGAAAAUUUCUGGAGAUGGAUGGUGGUGUUGGUUGUACAGAAAUGUGAAUGUACUUAAUGCCACAGUGCACUUAAAUAUGGUUAUGUGUACACUUUAAAAUGUGCAGUUAAAAAUGGUUAAAAUGGUAAAAUUCAUGUUAUAUGUAUUUUGCCACAAUAAAGACAAAGGAAGGGAGAUAGUAAUAGUGUCUGCCUCAUAGGUUCACUGUGCACACACGUGUAAGGAACAGGGAGCAGUGCCCAGCAGUGGCAGGGGCUCAGCGAACGUCCGUCAUUAUCUUCUGAACACGUUCGCCUCAACGAGAGGCAAGCUCACUUUAUGGGCAACUGUCUUGAACAGUCCACCGUCCGGGCAUGUCCUCCAUGGGACCCCCAUACGGCCCUCCAGUUUACCAUAUUUACUUCUGAAGUGUCUCAUUCUUCUUAGGAAAAUGGGCAGAAUUGGUUAACUUGAUCUUAGCAGUUUUAACCCUAGUUAUAAAUUAAUCAGUUUGUUGACAGAACUUGAGGCAGGACACAGCUGACAAUACUUAGAAGUGCCUCAGCCACUUGUUUACUGUGUGGUCCAAGAACAGCUGGGUCAUCUACGUCUCCCGUCAGGGAGCGCAUUCCAGCCGGCCCGGAAAGGGAGGAGGUGCUCGGGCUGCGCCUGGGACGACGUGCGUUCAACUGCAGCCUUGGUGCCAGCAGCAAGGCAUGCUGGGUCUCUGUGGCGCCCCUCCUCUGGGCUCUCAGAUCCUUGUGUAACGAUCCCAGUGGUAUUAUUUAUCAUAUGUUGUAAGUGUCUGCAUCAUCCUAGACAGUGAAGCACUCGUCUUUGAACACCCGGGCCUGUUUCAGUGUCUGGCAAUUGGUAGCUGACCAGUGAAUGCUGUAGCACGUGAGUUCAUUGCUAUAGCGCUGUUGCCUUCCCCCAUCCUUGCCAAACAAAUGCUAUUUUUGAAGCAUCUACUCUGUGCGUGGGAAUUAUUGCCCCAGGGCUUUACAGACUGAGCAGGCAGAAUAAUGACCCCUCAAAGAUCUCCACGUCCUUGUCCCUGGAACCUGUGAAUAUGUUUGUUACCUCACGUGGUAAAAGGGACUUUGCAGAUCUGAUCAAGUUAAGGAUCUUGAAAAGGGGAGAUUCUCCUGGAUUAUUCAGAUGGGCCAAAUGUCAUGACAAGGUCCUCCUAAGGGAAGGAGGGAGCAUUAGAGUCAGAGAAGAAGAUGUGAUGAUGGAAGCAGAAGACCAAGUGGUGUGGGGCCACGAGCCAAGGAAUGCAGGCAGCAUCUAGAAGGUAAGGAAACUGAUUCUCUUCUAGAGCCUUCAGAACGAACACAGCCCUGUGGACUCAUUUUAGACUUUCGAACUCCAGAACUGUAAGGUAAUAAAUUGGUGGUGUUUUAAGCCACUGGAUUUGUGGUACUUUGUUACAGCAACACUGGGAGACUAACACGCAUGCGUUCUCUCAUUGAAAUCUCAUGACAUCCCUGAAAGGUGGGUGUUGUUAUCCUACUGUGGAGGAGGAAAGGGGGACUCAGUUAGGUAAGGACUCAGUUGUGAAAGGUAGCAAGUAAUGGAGCCUGGAUUUGAAGGAAGAGCUGGCUGAAUCCAAGCCGUGGGCUUUGAGUCCGACCUCCACCCAAGACUCCCUCCUCUAAAAGGAAACCGAAGUUCAACAGUGAAGGCUUGGCUGCCAUGGUACCAUGGCAAGAGAUAAUCUCUGGUAAGGACUUAAGCUCCUUGGAAGGAGAAAGAGGCCCUAAAACAAUGAAACAUAUUGGCUUGAAAUGUCCAAGGUUUUACUACUACUGCUUUUCUCCUUUUUUUCCCCUAAUGAACAACACUCCUGAAUAUUUUUGCUUAUUUAAGCAAAUCCCCGUUUCAGUGUCCUUUGGUUGAUGGACAUUCAUAAGUUGGGUAUUAUUCAUCACAAGUUUCAUGAAUAAAUGAGAAAAACGUCCUGGUUACAAUUACAGUCCAGGACCUGGAACUGUGCUGAGCUCAAAGUUGGUGUUAGUAGGUCAUUGACUCAUUCAAUUUUAGGUUCAGAAAGGACUUCAGAGGCCAUCCUACUCAGCCUUGUGUUUCAGAGCUUGAAGUGCUUAAGUGUUUUGCUCAGAUACAUGUAGCUACUUGGUGGUGGAGACCCAAGUGGCCUCAAAUGAAUGAGCAAUUACUUGUUAGGAUAAUAAUGAGUUCACAUGUAUUGAAGCUCACCACGUGCCAGACACCAUUCCUAGCUCAUUCCCAGUGUUAAUGCGUUUAAUAAUACAUGAGCCCCUAGUUUGACAGGUGAGGACACUGAGGCAAGGCUACACAGCCACCAAGGGGCAGAGCCAGGAGUCAAACACGUGCAUGCUGAUUCCAGAGCUUGUGCCAUUACCCAGCAUGCUAGGAGACCUGACUGACGUGCCUGAGAGCAGCACAUGGCCCAGGAGGGCUGUUCAUGAGCAUGACUUUCACUGUGUCAUCAUGCUGGAACCUGAGUGGCCACUGCGGGCUGGGCGAGUUUGGCUAGUUUUGGCCUCUGUAGACUUUUUGGAUUAGACUCUUAACAGAUCAGUCUGGUCUCUCAAAGGGAAAGGAUUGCCUUCAUUAUUGGCGUUUCAUUAAAAGAAGCUCCUGCUGCUUUUACUGCAGCUUUUAAGAGAGGGACAUUCAACAGAGGAUAUUCUUACUUGCAGGAGUCAGGUAAGACAUUGACCAGUGCUGUUCAGGAAAAUGGAACCGAUCCUUAUUUUGGAAGCUCUCGGCUGCCCAGCUAUGCUUAGGAAAUGAAUCAGACUCUGUGGGUACCAUGCUCAAGGACAUGCAGUGAAUUAGUGGUGAAGUCAGGACUGGAACUCAGGUCUUCUGACUCCAGACGAGGGCUCUUUUCCAACGGUAUGCUGUCUGCGCUGCCUCCUCAGAUGGUCUCCUGAUGGUGUCCGCCUCUGGGGCUUAUUAUUGGCUGCAUGAUGACCCUGGAGGGAGCACAUCAGUGCAGGCUCAGCAAGGUGGGGAUGAACAAGGGCAGGGUGGGACGCUUGGUGGUCCUGCAGUGGUGAAGUGCAGGCAAACGGCUAUUGAUCUCGUUAGUUCUCUUUCAGAGAGAAGAUCGGAAAAUAGUCUUCAUUUCACUGGUUUGGAACCCAUGCUAAGUCUUGAAAACAAACCCAUCACCCCUGGUUUUUCUCACAGGCAUCUCGGCAUUGGCCAUCUCCAGCAAAUGUGGUCUGGACUCACCUCUCCACUUGGAUCAGCUGCGUUGUGCUGGCUGGGCUGCCGCCUGCAGCCCCUGAGUCAAUGCUCCAUAGCGGACUGGUUGUACUACACUCACUGCAAGGUGGGGUCCAAACUUUUCCCUGCUGCCAUGAGCCCAGGGCUCAGGUGAACCUCAGAUGCUAUGCCCUCUGACCUACCACCUGGCCCUCCUACCUGCCAUGAUGGCCCCAUCGUUCCACUGGUGUUCUGACCCCACGUUCUGUUUGGCACGUCAGGUCUGCUCUGGACCUGACAUCCUGCUGAGCUCUUGGGGCAUUCUCCCUGAACAGGAGCCUCCUGCCCAGCUGAGCAGCUGGGAUUGCAGCUCCACUGUCCACCUGCCCUUCAGCACAUCUGCCGCCUGGAGCCUCCCCUGGCAGGGCCUUCCCCACCUUCGCAAGUAUCGACAUCAUUGGCCACCAGCCUCCAUCAGUUCCUGGUGGCUUACCACAGCCCUUGUCAUGUUCUAGGUUGCCCUGUUUUUCACCCACACCUGAGGCUAGCCCUAUGCUGGCUAUUUCUGUCAGCCCUGGCUGGGUCUAGCCUUCUCAUCCGUUUCGCUAUCAUCCCAUGUUUCUGAGGCCCCAGCUGUCCCUGGGAGCCCUGGCGCCGAGCCUACUUGAGUUAUGUGGACUUCACCUUGUGGCAAGUUUCUUCCUUCCUCCCUCCUUUCUAUAAACCUUUCUUGGGAACCUCAAAGGUGCCAGAUACUAUGAUGCACUGUGAUAGGCAUUAGGGAGAAAAGAAUGAAAGAAGCAUGACUGCUGAUACUCCAAAGAAACUUGGGAUUACGUUAGGAACAGCAUUUAGGUCUGAACAUGUCUGGACUGGACAAGAGCUCUAAACUGAGGUUGAGGGAAGGAUGAUUAACCUGGGAAAACCUCAGAUCCACAGACAACUCAUCGGUGGCUGUUUUAGCUCAGGUGUAAAUAUCUUAGGAGAAUGUAUCGUUAUUUAAUAAUUCAGAUAGUCUAUAUGCCUCUUGCACACGGAAUUAUCUUCUUAAAUUUCUCUUUGAUCACGCUACUUUCUUAGCAUAAAAAUCACCAAUGACUGUUCCUUGCCUACAGGAUGGUUUAAACUUCUUGGCCUGACAUUCAAAGCCCUUCCCAGACAGGUCCACUUAUAUUUCUGGCUGCAUCUCCCAGUAUUGACCUGUUAGAACCUUCUUCUCCAACUAUUCUGGUUGAUUGGCUGACAGUCAGACUGACGUUCCAUUCCCGCCACCCCGCGCAGCUUCCCCCCCUCCUCCAAUACCCCUAUCCCGUGUUGCCCACACUCCCCUCUACCUCAAGGCUUAGCCCUCCAAAAGCCUCCCAGCCUCCACCUCUCCUUCUCUUAUGUCAGUGGUUCUCACCUCUGAUUACAUACUAGAAUCACCUAGGGAGCUUUAAAAAAUGAGAUGGAGUGGGGAAGGGAGCACCAGACCGAUUUUAUCAAACUUUCCAGAGUCUUUAAAAAAAAAAAAUCCUCCCAGGUCAUUGUAACAUGUAGCCGGGGUUGAGAGCAACUGUUGUGAACAAAUAUGUAUUGCUUCCACCCCUUUGGCUGUAUUGUUAUUUAAGACUCACGCAAGGGAAACAUUAACUUCCGUAUUAAAGUAUUCCCUUAAAGCACAAGAUAUGCCCUUCCUUUCUUUUUGUUCUGUGUAGAGUGUACCACAGCAUCUUUUACGUGAAAGCACAGCAAGCAUCUGCUGGAGGAAUUGAAAUGACCCAGUGAGGUGGGUCAGUCAUUGUCUUGUCGAUCUCAAAGGGUGAGAAACCCAGCCAGCGGUUAUAAUAUAGUGAUGUGCUCCUGUGAAUGGAAUUCUUCUCUUGCAACGCAUUUUCGGAGCCCCUACUCUGUGUAGGCCACUCUGCUCAGGCCCAGCAUGCCUUGGGCAGAUAUGUGCAAGACUAAGGUCAGAGUGAGUAGCCCGCUGUAGGAAGUAAGCAACUAAUCAUAACAUGAUGUGUACUGCAUCCAAGCUAAGGGUCCAGUGUCACUGAUGCUUAGAGGAGGAAGCCACAGUCUAACCAGGAAGUUUGGGACUACUUCUCACAGGAAGUAGCAAUCUACCCAGAAAGAUAUAGAAAGUUGAACAGCUUACCAAUGUUUUGGUUAGAAAUGUGUUCAGCUGCAACUAACAGAAUGCUUUGCUAACAGUGAUUUAAAAAAUAAUAGUAAAUAAAUAUUAUAGAUACACAUAAUAUAUGUAUUAUAUAUUUAUUAUAAUAAGUCCAGGGUUAGGCACUCAAAAUGACACAUUAGCUCAACAAUGUGGCUGAAGUUUCUGGAAUUCUCUUGUCCUUUGAGUUAUGGUCAUAGGUUGGCUGCAGCAGCUUCAGUCAUUGUGUCCACAUUCAAAGGAGAACGAUGAGGAGGAGGACAGUGCCAGCCAUGUUUUCCCCUUUUAUCAGGAAAGCAAAAACUUUCCCAGAAACCUUCCUGUGGAUUUCUCCUCACAUCUCAUUGGCCAGAACUGUGUCACGUGGUUACCCUUAGCAGCAAUGGAGGCUGGGAGAGAGAGGAUUUGACUUUUCCAGUCUCUAUAUAGGAAGGUAGGGAGGAGAAGAGGGUUGAGAGUGGCUCCUAAGUGAGCCAACUAACAGACGAAACAUUUACCAGAAAAUUCUCCCUUCAUUUGCAAAAAACAGGGAGCUGUGAAAGUGUAUGGAAUAUUUAGGAUCAAAUAAUUUAGUAUCACCAAAGUAGAGGACGUGUGGCAAGUGAGUGAGGGCAGACAAGAUGGAGAGAAGUUGAGAUGAGAUUCUUUAGGUUCUUGAAUGACGUGUUAAAGAGCUUGGGAUUUUUCUAUAGGGCCUGGGUAACUAAUGGAGAUUUUUAAUAAGAGGAAUGAUGAAAUCAGUUUAUUGGGGGAAAAGUGGCAGUAUGGAGGAUGGACCAAGAAAGAAAAAGAUGGCAGACUAUUUAUAGCAAUCCAGGCAAGAUUUGAUGAGGGCCUGCACUCAGAUUUCCUUCAGCAUAUUGCUGGGGGAAGAGUUGGGCAGGAUGGCCAAGAGGCCAGGAUCUGAUGAAAGCAGCUACCCAAAUUUCAUCUUUGGGUAAAAUAUGGCUUACCACCAAUAACGCUUUGUAAAAGUCUCUUGCGUGUGUUUCUUGGGAGGAAGAGAUAGGAGGUCAUGACAUGCUCAACACCAUCUGCUAGAGGCUGUAUUAGGUUCCUAGGGCUGCUGUCACAAAGUGCCACAAGCCAGAUGGCUUAAAACAACAGAAAUUUAUUCUCUCAUGGUUCUGGAAGGUAGAAGUCCAAAAUCCAGGUGUCAGCAGUAUUGGUUCCUUCUGGAGGUUAUGAGAGAGAAUCUCAGGGAGAAUUUCCAUGCCUCUCUCCUAGCCUCUGGUGGCUCCUGACACUCCUUGGUGUCCCUUGACUUGUAGGUACGUCACUCCAAUCUCUGCCUCCAUUUUCACAUGGCUUCUCCCCGGGUGCGUCUGUGUGCUCAAGUUUCCUUUGUCUUAUAGGGCCCACCCUAAUACAACUGACCUCAUCUUAGCUUGAUCACAUCUGCAAAGACCCUAAUUCCAAACAAGGUCACACUGACAGGUACCAGAGGUUAGGACUUGAACUUAUCUUUUUAGGGAACACAAUUCAACCCACCACAGGUAUAUUAGGCCUGCUCUAGUUGAAACUGUCAGACAACCUUUGACUUAAGGGGAAAAAAAAGGAGUUUAUCUACUUGCAUAAUUUGAAGCACAAGGGAGUGGCUCUCCUGUCCUCAGCGUUGCUUCAUGCUCAGGAAGGAACUCUCCAUGGCAUGGCUAAGUUACCCUCCGCCUGCCCUGAUUACAUCCAGGUUUACGAGGGUAACCUCAGAAAAAGCUCUACCCCCAGGUCCAUGGCGACCCCUCCACAGGAGUCGUGGGUCACAGGCCCAUCCUUUGAGGCCUAGAGGCAACUCGCCCAAAUCAUAACUGAAGAGGAUUAUUAUGGAAUGUGGGGGAUGAUUCCCCAAGUGCUGCCAGGCAAUGUUCUUUCUCUGCCUUUACCCAAAUGAGGGCAAGGAGAGAAGGCCCCAGCUGGAAAUACCAGCUUCUUCCUGGCAAUCUUGAUGUUGUGGGCAACUUCCACAAUGGACAGGCAUUGCAGCUGUUGACUUACUGUUCAUGUGGUUUUGAUGGACGUAUAUCUGUUAACCCCUACUUUAUUCUGUUCAGAAAUCUGGCAUUUGCCCCUCUGUCCUCACCGGUCCACAGGAGAUAAGAGUCAGUGAGCAAGGUUGCCCAAGUGAAUAAGCUGGGCUCAGCACCUAGAAUUUCUCUACUGUUCUGAGCCUCUGGGACCAUAAGGCUGAGGAUGGCUGGCCAUUGGGCGUUGCUCCUUUGGGACUCUGUCACACAUCAGCUUCUCCCUUUACAAGCCUUAGGAUGCAAGGAGUCUCCUGUUUGCCUAGUGCUCCAAAAUGGCCUGCUCCUCCCUCUCCCAGCACAGGCAAGCAAGAAGCUAAAACCAUUUUGAGGUCCAUACCAGGGUUGUGACUCCAUAAAUAUCCACUGCUGUCACUCUUAGCAUCUGAGCUGGAAAACUGCCCCACUUCCCUCCAGCCAGCUUCCCUUUUAUGUUGCUCAUCCUCAGAGAUCGCUGACGUAGGCCAGGGGAAAAACCUCAGGGACAGCUAAUCCAGGCCCCUCCCUGUACGGAUGGUGAGACCUUCAUUUUUGCCCUCAUUCCUCCAUGGGGUGAGGUUGGAGGAGGAGGGAACACAAUGCUGUGUCUUGGCCAGCAGGGGCCUCCUGGCCUGGGCUGGCUUGCGGCUCUGCUAGACGUCUUUCUUCCCUUUGUCACAGGUGACCAGGGCCCCUGGCUUGGCACUGGGAUUUCCACUCAUGUUGUCCUCUUUAGGAACUCCUACAGGGUGAAACAAAAUAUUACUAUUCUCACAACAACAACAUAAUAACAACCAUCCCCAUGUGCCAGGCCCUGUAUCAGGAGUCCUUUCCAAUGAGCAUCUCAUUUCUUCCUCCCUCCUAAAAAGUAGGCAUCUUCCCCACUAGUCGGAUGACCACACUGAAGUUCAGAGAGGUUGAGUCAUUUGUCCACGUUCACAAACCUCGUAUGUGAUUGGACUGUCAGACUUGAACUCCGAGUGGGGCAGCCUCAGGCUGUGGGAGGCAGCGGGCGAGAAGACAGUAUUGCUUUCGUUCCUUUUCCUCUUCUCCUUGGCACCACCUGCUCUUCUCCUCCAGUUCCGGGCCGUCCCUUAUAUCCAUUUUUAUAAGUCAGAAAAAAAAACCCCUUUAUUUUUGUAUAUGUUCACUCUUAUUUUUUUAUUUUCUAAAUAAUUAAUUUUUAUCUUAGCCUCACUAAUUUCUUCCUUUUGAUUUCCUUAAGUUUAUUUUUCAUAUGUAAAUGUUCGCAGUAUUAUUUUCCAGACAAUCUAUCAUUUCAGUCUUGAGUUUCUCUUUGACCCAAGAGUUAGAGAGAGGGUUCUAACAUUUCCAAGUGGU
This 9492-nucleotide long non-coding RNA is filed under the name Equus caballus (horse). RNAcentral's name for it is "lncRNA (ENSECAG00000056687.1)". The record is from RNAcentral. Lineage: Eukaryota; Metazoa; Chordata; Mammalia; Perissodactyla; Equidae.